UGGGGAAUUUUCCGCAAUGGGCGAAAGCCUGACGGAGCAAGACCGCGUGGGGGAAGAAGGCUCUUGGGUUGUAAACCCCUUUUCUCUGGGAAGAACGAAAUGACGGUACCAGAGGAAUCAGCAUCGGCUAACUCCGUGCCAGCAGCCGCGGUAAGACGGAGGAUGCAAGCGUUAUCCGGAAUGAUUGGGCGUAAAGCGUCCGCAGGUGGCAGCUCAAGUCUGCUGUCAAAGACCGGGGCUUAACUUCGGAAAGGCAGUGGAAACUGAACAGCUAGAGUAUGGUAGGGGCAAAGGGAAUUCCCGGUGUAGCGGUGAAAUGCGUAGAGAUCGGGAAGAACAUCGGUGGCGAAAGCGCUUUGCUGGACCAUAACUGACACUCAGGGACGAAAGCUAGGGGAGCGAAUGGGAUUAGAUACCCCAGUAGUC
Molecule: ribosomal RNA, 426 nt
Filed under: uncultured cyanobacterium
Lineage: Bacteria; Bacillati; Cyanobacteriota
Description: bacterial SSU rRNA
Rfam family: Bacterial small subunit ribosomal RNA
Source: RNAcentral